CAUUACUAAGGGAGGCCUAUUGGAAAUAGAAUUUGUGUGGAGUUUUUUAAAUUGUAAGAGUUAAUAGAUUUUUUAAAAGUUAAGUAGAUUUGAUGAAUGGGGAAUUGCCACUAAUACCACUUUCCUAAUACCACUUUUCAACUUUACACUAACCACUUUUACCCUCAUCUUUAAUGAAGGGUAAAAGACAUUUAUAACCUUAUUUAAUGAUACAUAAACAUAUUCUCCAACAAGAAUUUUCAAAAUUUCCAAAUUGAUCGACGACUCCAGUUAGAGAUUCGAUGAGACGAUUCCGGCGAGAAAAUGAGAGAGAUCCUCCACAUCCACGGCGACCAAUGUGUAAACCAGAUCAGAGCCAAGUUCUGGGAAGUGAUCUGCGACGAGCACGGCGUUGACCACACCGGCCAAUACGUCGGCGACUCUCCCCUCCAGCUCGAACGUAUCGAUGUCUACUUCAACGAAUUCUCGAUGUUGUGAGGAAGGAAGCUGAGAACAGCGAUUGCCUACAAGGUUUCCAAUUUUGUUAUUCGUUGGGAGGAGGAACUGGAUCUGGGAUGGGAACGCUUUUGAUCUCUAAGAUUAGGGAAGAGUAUACAGAAUGUGGUUUGUAUGACCAAAUAAUUAAAUAUUUAUAACUCUUUAUAAAGGUUGCAGAAGCUUCUUUAUACAUCAUUUUCUCUCAUCUUCUUCAGACAUCUCUUAUACUAAACCAAUUGUAUAUCCUCUUACGAGUUGCAUAGUUGAAGAGAUUAGUUCGACAUGUAAAUGAGUGUGGUUCCAAUCAUUUCUUUUAUAGAAGAAUGAGAUAUGAAGAAGCAUUGAUAUUUUCAGAUCACGUUAGUAACAACUAACAAAAACUGAGUUUUGCAAGUACAAACUCUAUUGGAGCUAGAUUCAAAUGAUUUACAAAGCUUUAUAAAUUAGUUUAUAAAUAUUUAUAAUUAACUUAUAGACUGCAGUAGAUAUUUUAUAAAGUAUUACAAAUCUAUUUAUAAACCUAUAUGAAUCAAUUUAUACAUUCUUGUAAAUCAAAAUAAAAUAUCCGAAGUCUACUGAUUGCUUGAAGAGCUCAUCAACUUGGUGCUCCCCAAUCCGCCAUGGCUCUAUGAUGAUGAUGCCUUCUACUCCUCUUGCUUGGCGGUUUGAUUCAGCUGAAUUCACACUCAAAGAAGACUAUAACAACUUAUUUUUGAAUGUAUGUUUAUUAAUGUCUCAAGAAGCAUUCAUCCUUCAGAUUAAGUACUAGUAACAAGCAACUAUCUUUUAACAAUGUUUCAUUUCUUAAUAUACUUACAACGCUUUGUCAUACACUCUACACCUUAUUUCAUAAAAUAAAAAGUUGUAACACUUCAAAAUACCACUAACCUGAUUCUUCUGAUAUGUUUUUUGGCUGAAUAGAUAUUUCUCUAACAGCUUAAAAAGACUCUCUAAACUAUUUAUAAAUCUUUUGAUAAAGUCUUAUAAAACCUUUAUAUUUUUUUGUAAACCCUAUAUACUCUUCAAAACCCAUUAAAAUCUUUUAUAAACCCUUAUAAAUCUUUUUUUUGUCAACAUUCUUUUCAUUUAAGCCUCAUGGGCUGAAAUUAUGGGCACAAGUCUUUCGGCUUAAAGCCAAACACUUUGAUACACAAGAUUAAAUUCAUAAAAAUAGGGAACACGUGCAUGUUUUAUAAAGAAAUGAUGAUACGUGGCAGAUUCUGAGGCACAUGCGGACAGUGAACAAUGCUCCACCGCUUCAGACCCCACCGCUUCAGCUCCACGAACGAAGAAACCUCCUUUGUCGGACCUACAAAUCUUAUAUGUCUUUAUAAAUGGUUUAUAGACUCCUACAAAUAAUUUUACAUACUCUUAUAAAUUAUUUUAUAAUGGUGUAUCAAUUUUAUAAAUUAUUUUUAUAAACCCUUAUAAAUUAUUUAUAUACCUUUAUAAACCCUUAUAAACUAUUAUACAAACCAUUAUAAGUUGUUUUGUAAAGCUUUCUAAAUGGUUAUAGACUCUUUUAGUUGAUUUAUAAACCUAUACAGCUCUUAUAAUACCCCUUAUAAAUUGAAUAUAUGCUUUCAUAACAUUCUUAUAAACUUUUAUAAAUAGUUUAUAAAUUGCUUUUAUAAACCCUUAUAAAUUAUUUACAUUCAUCAAUAAUCAUAGAUCUACCCCCAUUGGUUGAUCUGAGAAAGUGAACCAUAGAUCUUAGAGACUCUUACAAAUAAUUUAUAAAUAAUUUAUAUACCCUUAUAAAUGGUUUAUAAAAUUUAUGUAUUGUUUUUAUAAACAUUUAUAAAUGAUUUAUAAACAGUUUCUUAAUUAUUUACAUACUCUUAUAAAUCCUUAUAAACUAUUUUACAUACUCUUAUAAAUUGUUCUAUAAGCCUUUAUAAAUGGUUUGUAGACUCUUACUAACAGUCUUACAAAUAACACAACACAAGACUUCUCGAGUUCACAUGUUUAUAUGCUGUUCUAUAGACAUAUAUGAUGAAUUCUUGUUUAAGAACUUAUUUUAUAAAACCUUGUAAAUUGUUGAGUUGUAUUAUCAACAAUAUCCUAAAAUACAGAUUUAUAAGGGGUUAUAAUUCCUUAAUAUGCAGUGUACUAUCGGAAAAUCUCUCUCUUAGCCGGAACUAUUCAUAUGACAAGUCCAAAUCAACCGUAUUCUAUUUUUGGAUAAACAGAAGGAAGAAAAUCCUAAACCCUUAUAAAUAACGUUAAAUAUUCUUAUAAUCUCAAGUUGGCUACUAGAAAUCUCAGACCCGAAAGUCUUCUCGGAGAAGGUGGAUUUGGUUGUGUCUUUAAAGGAUGGGUGGGGAGAACGGAACUGCUCCUGUUAAGCCUGGCACUGGUCUUACUGUCGCUGUCAAAACCUUGAAUCUUGAUGGCCUUCAGAGUCAUAAAGAGUGGCUUGUAUGAUCCUUUAUAAACACUUCUAAAUUGAUGUAUAAACUCUUAUAAAUUGUGUUAUGAAGAUUAUUAAAUUCUUAUAAUCUUUGGAAUAAACCGUGAUAAAUAGAUUUAUAAACUCUUAUAAAUAGAUUUAUAAACCUUGUAAAUUAAUUUAUAAACACUUACAAAUAAAUGUAUAAACUCUUAUAAAUAGCUUAUAAGUUCUUGUAAAUAGUUUUAUAAACCCUUUUAAAUAGUUUUAUAAACAUUUAUAAAUAGAUAUAUAAAUAUUUAUAUGUGUUUUAUAAACUUUAUAGAUGGUUGGUACAAGCUUUUAUAAGCUCUUAUAAAAUUCAUAAAUGGUUCAUAAAUGGUUUUAUAAACCUUUAUAAAUAGUUAUAUAAAUACAUAUGUGUUUUAUAAACUUUAUAGAUGGUCGAUUACGAUCCAGCUACUUUUGAUCCGACGGAGCACGGUAGUCCACCGACGAAGAUGAUGUAGUCCACCCAUGAAAGCGGUUUAAAACUGAUCUCGUCUCUCACCAUGAGUAGAAAUAGAUUAGAGGAUAUAAGUCUUUUGUUUCCUUAAAAUUUAGGUGCUUUUAAAAAUGGAUAUCUUAAUAGUGUAAACAUGAAUAAGUGUACUUCAGAUGUGCUAGUUUUGCAAUUUUCCCUCUUAUAAAUGAAUUAUACUUUAAAAGAUAUUUAGAAAGCCUUAUAAAUUGUUUUGAUAACCAAUUAUAAAUAGAUUUAUGAACCUAAUAAAUGGUUUUAUAAAUCAUUAUAUAUGAUCUAUAAAUUGUUUUAUAAAUUCUUAUAAUAAAAUAUUAUAAAUGUCUUAAUAAAAGAUUUAUAAAUCGUUAUAUACAAUCUAUAAAUUGUCUUAUAAAAACUAAUAAAUUUAUUUAUAAACCCUUAUAUAUGGUUUAUAAACCAUUAUAAAUUAUUUAUAAAUGAUUUUAAAUAUUUACAAAUGAUUUGUAGACUUGUACAAACAUAUAUAUUAUUUAUUAUCAUUUAAAAGUGAUCUAUAGACCUUUUAAACGUCUAUAAAUGAUUAACAAUAUUGAUAAAGUCCUAUAAAUGAUUUAUUAUCCUUUACAAAUGAUCUACAAAAACUGUUAAUUACCUUUCUGUGCAAAGCUUCACAUACAAUCCAGGAUACAAGACCACAUGAGUCUUUGAACGAAGCAGCUUGUAGAAAUUCAUAUUGGAGACAGGAGAUGCGCCUAUUAUCCUAACUGUGACGAUCAUCUGCACAUCAAGGAGCUUUGAGCCUAUCUUUUUGGCAAACAUCACAGGAUGUGCCAGCCACCGAAGAUAAUGUUUCUCUUUUUCAAGAAAUGAAUUGCUGCUGGACACAGUUCAAGAUCAGGAAUAUGUCCAUUAUUCACAAACUCACGGACUUUACAUUUUGGCAAUGCACAACGGAAUCUUUCAGUGUCUUCUUUGUUAAUCAAUCAGUUAUAAGAAUUAUAAAUGAUUUAUAAAUAGUUAUAAUGUUUCUGCCAAUCUCUAUCUCUCUCUUUUUGUUGCUUCUGAAUUGUGUGUAUUAACUGUAAACGAGCAUCAGUGUACUUGAAAGUAGAAUUAAAAUAUUUGAUUUCAUGUACAAAAUAGCUGGGAACUGCACAUAUGCAAGGAAUUUGGUAAUUUAAAAUCAAAAGAAACCAUAAAAUAAUUUAUAAAGGCUUAUAAAUCAUUUAUUAUGAUUUUCAUACACCAAUUUGUAAGGGUUUAUAAUUUAUUUUAUAAAUUAGCUACAGAACAGCGAAGCAUUACCAGAGAUCACCACAAGGAGAACCCAUGUAGAGGAAACAUAACCAAAAGCCACACCAAGGAGAACCUAACUGGAGACCCGUGAAGAGACACCAUCAAAACUCCACAACACUUAAGAAACAUGAUCUCCUAAAACAAGAGCAGAAACGAAGACAAUUUAGAAACUAUAUCAGGAGAAACGAAGGAACAGAGCAUAACAACAGAAAAAAAAGCACUUUGAUGCAGAAACAAAGGAACAAAACAGGAGAAACGAGCACUAGUCACCAUCGUUGACCAUCUGAAAAAUGAUGCACUAGAAUCGAUGGAAGAAUUAUCACCCCACAUCAGAGCCGGCUUAACCUGCAACCUUGCACCAGAAAACAAUUUUGAGACUAGAGAAGUCUUCCAAGCAACCCGAUAGAAACCCAGCCACACGCUCUCUCCACAAAGCUCUUCCAAUGCAUCAACAACCUCAACCAAGCUUAACUAAACUAAACAACUUCACCAGACUCUAAACAUCCUAGUUAAGGCUGCAAACAGGAGAAACACGAACCAAAUGAGACCCAUGACCUACACCGGUGAUGUAACUCUACCAACAAGCCCACAACCACCGAGUAUGAAGCCAACAACACCUCAAUUCACCGGUUCUCCAACCCAAUGAGAGCAAACGAGGAUUGAUCUGAACCUUUAACCACACAAAACUACUCUCUCAAACUAGAUCAGCAGCCCAAACCAUCGAGAACAUCGCGAAGACAGAGAGAAGAUCCACAAGACAGAGUGAUUCUCGUAAUCUUUUGUCGCCGGCUGUGUGAGAGAAAGCGACGACGGAUUUCGACGGAGACAACGACAGAUCUCGACGGAGACGACAAGAUCUCGACGGAGACGACGGUGGAUCUGACGAUGAUGGAUCUCGAUGAAGACGACGACGGCGAGCCUGGAUGAAGACGACGACGGCGAACCCCAAACCUUAUCUCUUUCCCUUUCUCGAUUACAUCUGGUUUACUCAGGGGCACCUAAGUCAUUUAGUCAUUAAUGAAUAUGGUAUAUUUGAAAAUAUCAUUUAAUGGAUGGUAUAAUUGAAUAAUGGUACUAAGGAAAGUGCAUAAGUAAAAUUUCCCC
Long non-coding RNA from Brassica napus (rape), 5753 nucleotides. RefSeq lists it as uncharacterized. Lineage: Eukaryota; Viridiplantae; Streptophyta; Magnoliopsida; Brassicales; Brassicaceae. The transcript is spliced from 2 exons. The record is from RefSeq and is a predicted model, not a curated record.